UACGAAGGGGGCUAGCGUUGUUCGGAAUUACUGGGCGUAAAGGGCGCGUAGGCGGUUUGGUAAGUUGGGUGUGAAAGCCCAGGGCUUAACCCUGGAACUGCACUCAAGACUGCCUUACUUGAAUUCGGUAGAGGUUGGUGGAAUUCCCAGUGUAGAGGUGAAAUUCGUAGAUAUUGGGAAGAAUAUCCGUGGCGAAGGCGGCCAACUGGACCGACAUUGACGCUGAGGCGCGAAAGCGUGGGGAGCAAACAGG
RNAcentral lists this ribosomal RNA (253 nucleotides) under uncultured bacterium. RNAcentral describes it as "partial 16S ribosomal RNA". It matches the Rfam family "Bacterial small subunit ribosomal RNA", at positions 524 to 776 of the family's 1533-position model. The record is from RNAcentral.